Molecule: non-coding RNA, 2864 nt
Organism: Cricetulus griseus (Chinese hamster)
Lineage: Eukaryota; Metazoa; Chordata; Mammalia; Rodentia; Cricetidae
Source: RefSeq, a predicted model, not a curated record
CCUCACCCCGAGAACCGUGGAGCCCUAGACCGCGAGGGCGAGGGCCGAAGCGCUCCUCUUCCCGCGACGUCCAGAAGCCCCAGAGCUAACAGCCCUUCCAGGAGCUGCUGCGACCCACCUGGCUCCUCCUCUCCGAGGCAACUGUGCUGAGAUGGAAAACUCAUAACCUGAACCGGCGAGUCUGGAAUCCCUGAACUCAAGAGGCUGAGUCGGAAGGAUCAUCAUGAGUUUGAGGCCAGUAUACGCUAUAUAUAAACUGUUUCAAAAAUCCCAUAAAUAAAUGAAUGUUUUUGAAACAUUCAUAUCCCUAUGAUUUCUGUUGAAAUGUGAGAGACCUGUGUAGAUAGAUGCCCCUAGGGCUUCAUUUUUUACCUGUUGGGGCAAAUGAAGGAAUCAAGUCUGACCUGAAUGAGAUGAUUGCAAUACUCAGGCCUGACUGAAUUGGACAACCAAAUCUUAGGAGGAAUUUAGCAAACAUUGGUGGUGCUAAACAGGCUUUUCUUGCUCUCAAAGUGUUUUUCUUAACUCUUCGAUUAGGACUUGACCAAGACCUGACAGACAGGUCCUGAGCUCUGGUGACACAUAGACACCUGACUCCUUGGUAUCAGUUUAGGAGGUCCCUCACUUCCUGGGGAGCAGUAAAUAAGGCUUCUCCCUCUAUAAACAAGCUGCUUGGGUUAAGGAAAGCACCCUUAAGCACCUGUUACUGUUUCCAAACUUCCCUAGCCAUGCCCACAUCCAAACCUCUAAGCCUCAGAACCCUCACCACAAUACUGCAAAUAAACUGAUUUUAUUUAUUCCUAAUAGGCAGAUACUUAAUAUCCACUUCCUCCCAUCACUGACUAGUGUCACUUGUGUUCUGAUGUUCUGGACCUAGUAAUAUUUACCUUGUCUUUUUUCUGUUGAAGAAGCUGCCAAAUCCUUGGGAGGAGAAGGACACCGAGGGGGGGGCAUUUAAAAGUCUCCCUAAAAGAAACUACAAAGCUAACAGUCUCUGAGGGCACCCAGUGUUCACCAAGAAUGUCAGCACCUGAGGUACUCAGUCAGCCUGUGAGGUCCACCCAGAGCUCUCAUCAUCCUUAGUCUUCAGGCAUUCAUGAUUCAGUCUCAUAGUUUCUCUUGAGAAGUGAGUUGUUGAUCAGGUCCAGAGUCUUCGUGGGACUAUCCAGGAAAAGAUGACAAAAAUCUCUUCACAUGAUUGUCCAGGAAAAGCUUUUCUUGAGUCCCACUGUGAACACAAAGUUGUGCCCAUGAUCCUGCUGUGGUGUCUUCCCAGAAGAGUGGAGCUCAAGGGAGACUGGGAAUGGAAGAAGCAAGAAGUUCUGACAAUACCAAUUGUUUAGGUCUAGGAUCCAUUGAGGUAGCCUGGUGGAUAAAAGGAAGCCUAACAAUGUGAGUUAAUCCUCAGGACCCACAUGGUGGAAGGAGAGAACCAGCUCUCACGAGUUAUCCUCUUCACAUAAGCUCUGAAACAUGUGAAACAUGCGGAACACGUGCCCCUUCCCCCCACCGCUGCUGUCCCACCACCACACUAGUGCUACCCGAAGCCUUGGUCAGAGAAGCCUGUUCUUGCAGUGGUGUCAGAGACUGGUCAAAAUGCUGAGAGUCAGUGUCUGCUGAGUCAUCAGCCCUAAAGGAGGCACCCUCACCUCCAAGGCUCAGAGAACAUCAAAGAAUGGAAAGAAUGCAAACCAGCCUUCUGGACUCCACAGGGCCACUGUACUCACACCCCUCCACCCAGCACCAGUAACCUGUAAAAGACCAGUGCAAGAUUAGGCCUGUCAACGUUCCAACAUGGGGAGCGGAGGGACUUAUUCGACCCACCUCCUUUGAAGAGCUAGUCGUAGUUUAUGGUGUAAGAGAGAUGUUUUCUUCUGUGGAGUAGCCACUGGUAAACAGCCUGAUGAAUAAACCCUGUGCUCAUUCAUGCAACCCUAGUGGGACACACAUCAAAGUGAAGGGGCCCUAGUUAAGAAGAAGAAAGGAUUCGCUGAGGGAGGGGAGGGAUGAGAGAAGACAAUGAGAUCAAAUACAUUAUAGACAUCUAUGAAAUUAUCAGGAAUAAUCCUAAAAAGAAAUGCCUAUUCUUCCAGAAUGAGUCGAUCCUUUGUUUUAGCUUUUACAAGGAAUUAUAAAACCUCAGAUUUUAGCUGUGUGAUUUUUAAUGUCAACCUCAAAUAAAAAAAUUUGAGAAGACGUCAUUUCGGGACUAUUUGGGUUGGAAGUAAAAGAUGUGCCGUUAAAGGUGGCUCGGCCCCACCCAUAAUGUGCCAUUUAAGAUGUCUAGAAGCUCUGGGGGUGGCUGGUUCUUCUAGUGUCUUUCACGUUAUGGCCACAAGAUGGCGCCAACGCUCAAACUAUCACUUCAGAGAGCCGUGGCGAAGGAAGAAAAGCCAGCAAAGGGGCUUUCUCUUCGUUCCAAGUCUCCCUAAGUAGAAAGAAAAAUGGAGGCUCUUUGCAGAAUUCCUGGGCAACUUCAUCACAGGUCCCUUUUUAGGGACGGAGAGCGCCCUGCCUUUCUUACUGUGCAGCUGAGCUCUGGGUUUGCACUUCCGGAGCAAAUGGGGCUUUUAUUUACAUAUUUAACGUUUUUGUUUGUUGUUGUCUUAAUCAAGGAAGAUGUGGGAAAGAGCUAUUGGAUAGGCUAGGGAUAGUGCCUGCCAGAGGGGCUCAGGAGAAACCGCAAACGCCAGAUUCCCCGCCUCAUGUCAACGUGUGAGCCAAGGCCGAUUCAGAAAUGGUUUUUCUUCCUUUGAUAAUGACUUAUUCGCUGCAGUGACUUAGAAAAAUGAUUGAACUAAAUUCCCUGCCACCAGAGACUUGAUGUAUAUAGAGAUUAACAAUAAAACUAUUUUUAAAAGUCA